This is a long non-coding RNA of Rhea pennata, 475 nucleotides long. RefSeq lists it as uncharacterized. Lineage: Eukaryota; Metazoa; Chordata; Aves; Rheiformes; Rheidae. The transcript is spliced from 2 exons. The record is from RefSeq and is a predicted model, not a curated record.
CAGUUGUGGGUCCCGGGGGGUGGGGGACGGUGGCGGCGGUGGCUCGGUGCCCGGGCGGAGGCGGGUUAUGCAACGGCACAGCCUGUUCCCUCGCGCACCGCGUGUCACCGCGUGUCACCGCUGUCACCGCCGCCGGGCCACUGCCGUCACCCCCCCCCGGGCACGGGGGCCAUCGUGGGACCGCGACCUGCCACCGGCAGCUGGCGUGGGGGGACCAGCGCGGGGACAGCGGCCACCAGCAGGAGCUGGCACCGGGGCCACCAGCAGAGACGGGGUUCGCUCCCUCGGAUACAGCACAGCACACGGACUCCACCGAACCGCAACCCACCCUCCCCCAGAGUUCCUGGAAUAGAAAAUAAAAAGCCUCGGAGCCCAGCGGGCCACGUCGGCUCCCUCUCCGCCUCCUGUCCCGUCAGCCGACCGCGCGGGGCGCGUUAGGCUUCUUUAAAAAUAAAGUUAGAGCAGGUUAAUCCUU